CGGCGGAGACUGUGAGAUUUUCUUGGAAAGUGGCUGGACCUCAGGGGCAACGCGAACACGAUGUUCGCGUUAGCCGAUAAGUGCCAUGGAUGGCAACGUAAAGGCGGCCCCGUCAUGGUGAGAAGCACUUGGCCACUUUCCUUUAGAAAAUCCACAGUUGUAGCUA
This 166-nucleotide non-coding RNA is filed under the name unclassified sequences. The record is from Rfam.